AUUAAAGUAGCUUAACGACAAAGCUUGGCGCUGAAAAUGCCAGAUCAUAGGUUAAACCCCUUUCUUUAAUA
This 71-nucleotide transfer RNA is filed under the name Pseudocolochirus violaceus. RNAcentral describes it as "tRNA-Phe". It matches the Rfam family "tRNA". Rfam says of the family: Transfer RNA (tRNA) molecules are approximately 80 nucleotides in length. Their secondary structure includes four short double-helical elements and three loops (D, anti-codon, and T loops). Further hydrogen bonds mediate the characteristic L-shaped molecular structure. tRNAs have two regions of fundamental functional importance: the anti-codon, which is responsible for specific mRNA codon recognition, and the 3' end, to which the tRNAs corresponding amino acid is attached (by aminoacyl-tRNA synthetases). tRNAs cope with the degeneracy of the genetic code in two manners: having more than one tRNA (with a specific anti-codon) for a particular amino acid; and 'wobble' base-pairing, i.e. permitting non-standard base-pairing at the 3rd anti-codon position. Lineage: Eukaryota; Metazoa; Echinodermata; Holothuroidea; Dendrochirotida; Cucumariidae. The record is from RNAcentral.